GGGACCGGGGAGUGUCCCCACUGGACCCCCAGACCAGGGAAUUUAAACUAGGGUGACCUUGACAUCAGGAUUGCGGGCAGGAUGUUGAAGCCAACCUGCCUGGCAGUUCAACAACCACUUAUUGACUACCUACUGUAUGCCAGGGAAAAUGUUAACUUCACUGGAAUCAGCA
This is a non-coding RNA of Phascolarctos cinereus (koala), 172 nucleotides long. Lineage: Eukaryota; Metazoa; Chordata; Mammalia; Diprotodontia; Phascolarctidae. The record is from RefSeq and is a predicted model, not a curated record.